Long non-coding RNA from Lontra canadensis (Northern American river otter), 218 nucleotides. RefSeq lists it as uncharacterized. Lineage: Eukaryota; Metazoa; Chordata; Mammalia; Carnivora; Mustelidae. The record is from RefSeq and is a predicted model, not a curated record. The transcript has 3 exons.
GGUAGGAUUUAUCUUUUAUAUGUAGCUUCCAUGUUGUCACUUCACUCUUGUCUCUCUCUUCUUAAAGUCUGGCUUGUUUCCUCUUAAAGGUGCCUGAGCUGGGAACUGUUUGCCCGCAUCCUCUUUGGCAUCCCUGGUUGUUUGCCACCGUUGACCACGUGACCACUGCUCUCUCUUGUCCUUUGAGACUGCACUCCUGAUUGCUCUGCUGCCUUUCC